GGUAUCCGCGAGGGACUACGAGCACCAGCUUAAAACCCAAAGCAUUUGGCGGUGUUCAGACCCCCCUAGAGGAGCCUGUUCUAGAACCGAUAACCCCCGUUCAACCUCACUACCCCUUGCUAUUUCCGCCUAUAUACCACCGUCGCCAGCUUACCCUAUGAAGGCACUAAAGUAAGCAAGACGAGCACUGCUCAAAACGUCAGGUCGAGGUGUAGCGUACGAGGUAGGAAGAAAUGGGCUACAUUACCUGAAAUAGGUUAUUACGAAAGGGCCUUCUGAAAAAAAUACCCUGAAGGUGGAUUUAGCAGUAAAGAAGAAGUAGAGUGUCUUCUUGAAGUUGGCUCUGAAGCGCGCAC
RNAcentral lists this ribosomal RNA (356 nucleotides) under Ehirava fluviatilis (Malabar sprat). Its description in RNAcentral is "partial small subunit ribosomal RNA". It matches the Rfam family "Bacterial small subunit ribosomal RNA", at positions 864 to 1386 of the family's 1533-position model. Lineage: Eukaryota; Metazoa; Chordata; Actinopteri; Clupeiformes; Clupeidae. The record is from RNAcentral.